RNAcentral lists this ribosomal RNA (253 nucleotides) under uncultured bacterium. RNAcentral describes it as "partial 16S ribosomal RNA". It matches the Rfam family "Bacterial small subunit ribosomal RNA", at positions 524 to 776 of the family's 1533-position model. The record is from RNAcentral.
UACGUAGGCAGCGAGCGUUGUUCGGAGUUACUGGGCGUAAAGAGUGCGUAGGCGGUUUUCUAAGUUUGGUGUGAAAUCUCCCGGCUUAACUGGGAGGGUGCGCCGAAGACUGGAAGGCUUGAGUAUGGGAGAGGUAAGCGGAAUUCCUGGUGUAGCGGUGAAAUGCGUAGAUAUCAGGAGGAACACCUGCGGUGUAGACGGCUUACUGGACCGUAACUGACGCUGAGGCACGAAAGCGUGGGUAGCAAACAGG